CGGACGUAGCUCAAUGGUAGAGCCUCUGCCUUCCAAGCAGAUCACGCGGGUUCGAUUCCCGUCGUCCG
Molecule: transfer RNA, 68 nt
Filed under: human gut metagenome
Also listed under: 1 other name
Rfam family: tRNA
About the family: Transfer RNA (tRNA) molecules are approximately 80 nucleotides in length. Their secondary structure includes four short double-helical elements and three loops (D, anti-codon, and T loops).
Source: RNAcentral